GAUGAAGAACGUAGCGAAAUGCGAUAAGUAAUGUGAAUUGCAGAAUUCAGUGAAUCAUCGAAUCUUUGAACGCAUCUUGCGCUCCUUGGUAUUCUGAGGAGCAUGCCUGUUUGAGUGUCAUUGUACUCUCACUCUCCCGAUACUUUUGGAUCGGGAGUGGUGGACUUGGGUGCUGCUGCUUAACUGUGGCUCGCCUUAAAUGAAGUAGUGCAACUCUCGGUUGGACAUAGUACGGCGUGAUAAGUGUCUUCGCCGGCGCCUCAUUCGAGGGUGGCCGAUCGGGAGCUCUGUGCUUCAAACUGUCUUCGGACAACAUCUGACAACUUGACCUCAAAUCGAGUAGGACUACCCGCUGAACUUAAGCAUAUCAAUAAGCGGAGGA
RNAcentral lists this unclassified non-coding RNA (382 nucleotides) under soil metagenome. RNAcentral's name for it is "partial contains 5.8S ribosomal RNA, internal transcribed spacer 2, and large subunit ribosomal RNA". The stretch from base 1 to 120 matches the Rfam family "5.8S ribosomal RNA", at positions 35 to 154 of the family's 154-position model. The record is from RNAcentral.